GUGGCUGUAGCUCAGUUGGUAGAGCCCCGGAUUGUGAUUCCGGUUGUCGUGGGUUCAAAUCCCAUCAGCCACC
This 73-nucleotide transfer RNA is filed under the name Pseudidiomarina planktonica. RNAcentral describes it as "Idiomarina planktonica tRNA". It matches the Rfam family "tRNA". Rfam says of the family: Transfer RNA (tRNA) molecules are approximately 80 nucleotides in length. The record is from Rfam by way of RNAcentral. Lineage: Bacteria; Pseudomonadati; Pseudomonadota; Gammaproteobacteria; Alteromonadales; Idiomarinaceae. RNAcentral also lists the same sequence under 1 other name.